CAAUAGCGUAUAUUAAAGUUGUUGCAGUUAAAAAGCUCGUAGUUGGAUUUCUGCUAAGGACGAUCGGUCCGCCCACUGGGUGAGUAUCUGGCUCGGCCUUGGCAUCUUCUUGGAGAACGUUGCUGCACUUGACUGUGUGGCGCGGUAUCCAGGACUUUUACUUUGAGGAAAUUAGAGUGUUUCAAGCAGGCGCACGCCUUGAAUACAUUAGCAUGGAAUAAUGAGAUAGGACCUUGGUUCUAUUUUGUUGGUUUCUAGAGCUGAGGUAAUGAUUAAUAGGGAUAGUUGGGGGCAUUCGUAUUUAACUGUCAGAGGUGAAAUUCUUGGAUUUGUUAAAGAUGGACUACUGCGAAAGCAUUUGCCAAGGAUGUUUUCAUUGA
Molecule: ribosomal RNA, 380 nt
Filed under: uncultured eukaryote
Lineage: Eukaryota
Description: partial 18S ribosomal RNA
Rfam family: Eukaryotic small subunit ribosomal RNA
Source: RNAcentral